CCUACGGGUGGCUGCAGUGGGGAAUAUUGGACAAUGGGCGCAAGCCUGACCCAGCAACGCCGCGUGAAGGAAGAAGGCUUUCGGGUUGUAAACUUCUUUUCUCAGGGACGAAGCAAGUGACGGUACCUUAGUAAUAAGCCACGGCUAACUACGUGCCAGCAGCCGCGGUAAUACGUAGGUGGCAAGCGUUAUCCGGAUUUACUGGGUGUAAAGGGCGUGGAGGCGGGAAUGCAAGUGAGAUGUGAAAACCAUGGGCUCAACCUGUGGCCUGCAUUUGAUACUGGUUUUCUUGAGUACUGGAGAGGCAGACGGAAUUCCUAGUGUAGCGGUGAAAUGCGUAGAUAUUAGGAAGAACACCAGUGGCGAAGGCAGUCUGCUGGGCAGCAACUGACGCUGAGGCACGAAAGCGUGGGGAGCAAACAGGAUUAGAUACCCUUGUAGUC
Molecule: ribosomal RNA, 443 nt
Filed under: uncultured bacterium
Lineage: Bacteria
Description: partial 16S ribosomal RNA
Rfam family: Bacterial small subunit ribosomal RNA
Source: RNAcentral